UUCGUAUAUCACAGGUUCCUACACCACUUAAAAAAGAAGGUGAAAAAUCGGGCUCAUCUUGAGGCAUCUGUUGUUGAGGCAUACCUAGUAGAAGAAAUGUCAACUUUUUGCUCUUUGUAUUUUGACCAACAUGUUGAAACAAGGUUGAAUCAUGUGUUGAGAAAUGAUGAUGGAGGUUUUGUCAAUCCUAAAUGACGACUAUCAAUUUUUACUCACCUUGGACGAUCCUUUCGCGUUCAACGUCGUAAUGUCAGAUUAAUGACAACUGAGGAAUUCAGAGCAGCUUCAAUGUAUGUUCUCUUGAAUUGAGAGGAAGUAAUCCCUUUUGUGGUGUAAGUUGUUAUAAUUACAUUUGAAAUAUAUGUGUUGAAUUGUAGAGUUGUUAGCUGCAUUAUAGUUUUUCACUUUCAUGUAGGAAGCUUGAUAAACACAGGAGAACAUUGUAUCCCCAAAUUUCUAAUGCACAAUUUAAUGGUUUACGCGAGGAACAUUUUUCACGUUGGUUGAGGAAAUACGUAAGUGAUUAUGCAAAUAUUGUCUCCACUGCCUACAAAGUAUUUGAUAAAAUGAGUUCUAAUACACAUUAUUUCUUCUGUUCAGGUUUUGGAUGAUCAUAAUGCAGUUGAUAAUCGCAUUAAGGCUUCUCAUAUAAUGAAAUGUUAUAAUGAAUACUUUGUCAAUGGUUUUGAGUUUCACACUUUAGACUAUGGUCCGAACAAAGCAACAAUGAAUAGUGGUGUUUGCGUACUGGGAAGUUGUCAUAAUGAUAAUGAGGGUGACUACUAUGGUAGGUUAAUUGAAAUAUUAGAACUAAAUUAUUUAGGGGAUAUUGUAAACAAGAUUAUUUUAUUCCAGCGUGAUUGGUUUGACACCAAUGGUGGGGUUAGAGUCCAUCGAAGAUUCAAUCUCGUCGAGCUUAUUCAUAAGAAGAAACUACCAUUAAAUGAUGUAUUUAUACUUGCUCAACAAGUAUAUUACACGUGUUUUCCUACAAAUGCUAGAGAUAGAGUUGAUUGGUGGGUGGUUGUGAAAACAAAAGCAAUAAAUGUUCCCAAUAUACAAGGAAUCAUAUUGGAGAAUGAAGAGUGUAAUGUGUGAGUGGAACUUGCAUUCCAAGAGGAUCAACCAUUGUCUACCCAGUAACUUGUUCGAAUAUCAACGUUCGAUCGCCGAAAUUUAGCUUGUGAUGAUGUCGGCGCUGAAGAAGUAGUCUGGUUUGACUCUAGGAUGUCCAAUAUAGAAGUAGAAGAAAAUGUGGAACUAGAUUACGUUGAUAGUAGUGAUGGUUUCACGACAAGUGCAAGUAAAGGAGAAAAUUGUAUUCUUAUUAUUCUUUUGGUUUUUAGUUCAUUUGUUAGUUUUAUGUCAUUGUUCAUAUUUUUCAUGGACUUAAGAGCCUCACCUUGCAGUAGGAAAGUGUUCGUUGUUGGGACGGGUUCAAACUGGACUGAAGGGAGGAGGAAUUUAAUACUUCGAUCUUCCUGGGUAUUCAUCACUGGCUAGGGCUUUUGCAGGAUAACAUUUAACCAGUAUAUGAGAAAGAGAAUGGUGGCCAGACUGGAGAAGGGUGCUACAUGAGGAGCUGUGAUGUUUCAAGUACCUAAAUUUUAGCAAUUGAGUGAUUUUGAGAAAUGGUGAUUCAAGAAUCCAAUUAUGGCGAUCUGCACUGCAGCCAAGCCCAUGUCAAAUCCCAGCAGAAAUCUCCUAACUAAACUUGCUAGUACCCAUUCUCUACGUGUUUAAAUUGGACCCCUUGUAUCUGUUCGAUAAUAAUGAAUUUAUGUGCUGAGUGCUACCUUGAAUUCAUGCUGGACACAAUUUGUUUUGUUGGCACUCCUUGUAUCUUGGUGCACAAUCUUGUAUUCUAUUUGAGACCUCUACUGCCUUGGACGUUUUAAUGUUAUUUCUUUAGUUGGUUUGUUAAUAAUUUGAUGUUGUGGCUUUCAAAGUCUAGCAAAGUUUACUAUUACCAUGGUACUUAGACACAUUCUGUUGUGUAGAGUAAGC
Molecule: long non-coding RNA, 2007 nt
Filed under: Olea europaea subsp. europaea
Lineage: Eukaryota; Viridiplantae; Streptophyta; Magnoliopsida; Lamiales; Oleaceae
Source: RNAcentral